GAUGAAGAACGUAGCGAAAUGCGAUACGUAGUGUGAAUUGCAGAAUUCAGUGAAUCAUCGAAUCUUUGAACGCACAUUGCACCUCUCGGUAUUCCGGGAGGUAUGCCUGUUCGAGCGUCAUUUGUACCCUCAAGCUCUGCUUGGUGUUGGGUGUUUGUUCCGCCUCUGUGUGUGAACUCGCCUCAAAACGAUUGGCAGCCGGCGUACUUGUUUCGGAGCGCAGCACAUUUUGCGAUCCAGAUCAACGUACAGCGGCAUCCAAGAAGCCUUAUUUAACGCUCUUGACCUCGGAUCAGGUAGGGAUACCCGCUGAACUUAAGCAUAUCAAUAAGCGGAGGA
RNAcentral lists this unclassified non-coding RNA (339 nucleotides) under soil metagenome. Its description in RNAcentral is "partial contains 5.8S ribosomal RNA, internal transcribed spacer 2, and large subunit ribosomal RNA". The stretch from base 1 to 120 matches the Rfam family "5.8S ribosomal RNA", at positions 35 to 154 of the family's 154-position model. The record is from RNAcentral.